AGCGAACGCUGGCGGCAGGCCUAACACAUGCAAGUCGAACGAAGUCUUCGGACUUAGUGGCGGACGGGUGAGUAACACGUGGGAACGUACCUUUUGGUUCGGAAUAACGCAGGGAAACUUGCGCUAAUACCGAAUGUGCUCUUCGGAGGAAAGAUUUAUCGCCAUUAGAGCGGCCCGCGUUGGAUUAGGUAGUUGGUGGGGUAAAGGCCCACCAAGCCUACGAUCCAUAGCUGGUCUGAGAGGAUGAUCAGCCACACUGGGACUGAGACACGGCCCAGACUCCUACGGGAGGCAGCAGUGGGGAAUCUUGCGCAAUGGGCGGAAGCCUGACGCAGCCAUGCCGCGUGAAUGAUGAAGGUCUUAGGAUUGUAAAAUUCUUUUACCGGGGACGAUAAUGACGGUACCCGGAGAAAAAGCCCCGGCUAACUUCGUGCCAGCCGCCGCCGUAA
This 449-nucleotide ribosomal RNA is filed under the name uncultured bacterium. Its description in RNAcentral is "partial 16S ribosomal RNA". It matches the Rfam family "Bacterial small subunit ribosomal RNA", at positions 29 to 523 of the family's 1533-position model. The record is from RNAcentral.